RNAcentral lists this non-coding RNA (24 nucleotides) under Arabidopsis thaliana (thale cress). The record is from RNAcentral. Lineage: Eukaryota; Viridiplantae; Streptophyta; Magnoliopsida; Brassicales; Brassicaceae.
CUUAUUAGAUCCACGACAGACGAU